GGUGCGAUAGCUCAGUUGGUAGAGCAAAGGACUGAAAAUCCUUGUGUCGGCGGUUCGAUCCCGCCUCACACCA
RNAcentral lists this transfer RNA (73 nucleotides) under Alphaproteobacteria bacterium. RNAcentral's name for it is "tRNA-Phe". It matches the Rfam family "tRNA". From Rfam's summary of the family: Transfer RNA (tRNA) molecules are approximately 80 nucleotides in length. Their secondary structure includes four short double-helical elements and three loops (D, anti-codon, and T loops). Lineage: Bacteria; Pseudomonadati; Pseudomonadota; Alphaproteobacteria. The record is from RNAcentral. RNAcentral also lists the same sequence under 1 other name.